GAUGAACGCUGGCGGCGUGCCUAAUACAUGCAAGUCGAGCGAACAGACGAGGAGCUUGCUCCUCUGACGUUAGCGGCGGACGGGUGAGUAACACGUGGAUAACCUACCUAUAAGACUGGGAUAACUUCGGGAAACCGGAGCUAAUACCGGAUAAUAUAUUGAACCGCAUGGUUCAAUAGUGAAAGACGGUUUUGCUGUCACUUAUAGAUGGAUCCGCGCCGCAUUAGCUAGUUGGUAAGGUAACGGCUUACCAAGGCAACGAUGCGUAGCCGACCUGAGAGGGUGAUCGGCCACACUGGAACUGAGACACGGUCCAGACUCCUACGGGAGGCAGCAGUAGGGAAUCUUCCGCAAUGGGCGAAAGCUUGACGGAGCAACGCCGCGUGCGUGAUGAAGGUCUUCGGAUCGUAAAACUCUGUUAUUAGGGAAGAACAAAUGUGUAAGUAACUAUGCACGUCUUGACGGUACCUAAUCAGAAAGCCACGGCUAACUACGUG
This 497-nucleotide ribosomal RNA is filed under the name uncultured bacterium. Its description in RNAcentral is "partial 16S ribosomal RNA". It matches the Rfam family "Bacterial small subunit ribosomal RNA", at positions 28 to 507 of the family's 1533-position model. The record is from RNAcentral.